RNAcentral lists this long non-coding RNA (970 nucleotides) under Mytilus galloprovincialis (Mediterranean mussel). The record is from RNAcentral. Lineage: Eukaryota; Metazoa; Mollusca; Bivalvia; Mytilida; Mytilidae.
UUUUUUUAUAUGAAAAUAUUAAAAUUUGGUUUUAAAUGUCAAUUUCAGCGUCAAAUGACAACUUAUUGUACGCCGAUUCCAAAAAUAUAAGGUUUUACAUACUUUUACAAUAAUUUGUUACAAAAAAUAGUUACUUCCGGUUUACAAAAGGUCACUUCCGGUUAGCUUUUUCAACGUCAUACUGCUUGCAACCUUAUGCAAAAAGUCUAAUAGCUUUAACAUGAAUACAUAUGAGGUAAAAGCAAAGGUCAAAAUCUAGAACGUUAAAUUAACAUAUGACCUUGAGUCAAUUUCAAGUCAUGAACCAAGGACAUCAAAUCAAAAGACUCUAGGUCUUUACUUUUAUUUGUUAUGAGUUAUAUUACCAUACGACUGAUAUUAGAUAUAAAAGGGGGAAAAACUAGCAACAAAUGUUUACGUACCCUUUCGACUAAAAUUUAUGUGUAACUACAUGUCGAGACUAACAAUUAUGUGAAAAUAUUUUGUCGAUAUCUUAUAAGAUUUCUGAAAAUAAGAGAUAACAAGCCAAAAUCAAAAAAUUAAUCAUGACCUUGACCUUUGACCUUGAUCUCAUUUUCAUUUUUUUGGACCAAUGACCUCAAAUCAAAAGACCCUAGGUCUCUAACACUUAUGGUUUUCCAGUUAAAAAUGCAUAUCACUUAUAUCAAAUAUAAAAGGGGAAAUAACUCUCAUAUGGAGUCUCCGGAUAGCUUCGGUCAAAAUAAAUCAAAUCAUCCUGAGGAUAUAACGAGCAAUUUUGGUAAAAUAAAUUUGUCGGUUUCUUAUACAGUUGCGAAUAUUAAGCGAUAACAAGAAAAACAGUGUUCGGGGAGAUAACUCUUACAUGGAUAAGAUUUUGGGUACGCGGUGUCAGUUUCAAAAGCGUAUUAAUUGUUCAAUAUCAUAUACCAUAUAUCUAAGCGACAUCUUGCGAAACAAAAAAAUUGCGAAGGAACAAAAAGUUGGCGGA